This 244-nucleotide unclassified non-coding RNA is filed under the name uncultured fungus. RNAcentral's name for it is "sequence contains ITS2". The record is from RNAcentral. Lineage: Eukaryota; Fungi.
AACGCACAUUGCGCCUCAGGGUAUUCCUUGAGGCAUGCCUGUUCGAGCGUCGUUUAAACCCACAAAGCAUUGCUUUGCGUUGAGUUUGUCUGACUAGUUUGAAAGACAUGCUCUAAAACGAUUGGCGUCCGACUCGGCCCAAAAUACAUCGACUUGUGUUUAUACGGCAGAGGAAGGUGACAGCCUCGACAAUUAUUUUAUAUCUGUCGACCUCGGAUCAGGCAAGACUACCCGCUGAACUUAA